AUAUCCGCCAUGUCUUUCUAUGCUUUCCUUAAUUGCUUCUCUGCCUUGUUCUAUCAAUGAAGGCUUAUCAGUACUGCUUCGAAAAUUAUAGGCUUUAGGCUGUUCUUCAGCCGCCAACUUUACCAUAAAAAACUCAACAAACAAGCGAGCCCCAGAGCUCGAAAUCAAGAACAAAGCAAACAGUGAAAUACAGAACAAUACUUUGAAACUAGCCAUUUCAGACCUCUAAUCUGCGUUACUGAUAUUCUGCAUGAAUGCUUCAAGGGUGGGUCCUAUUUAUAGCCCUAAUUUGUCCACCACUUUCUGUAUGAUAAUAAAUAAAUGAAGUUAUUUGGUCGGAUUAAACCUUACUUAGGCGUUGCAACAAUAUCAAAUCGGGUGAGUUGGAAUCAUUAAUAAAAAGUUGUCUGAUGUGGAUCCCCUUGAUUCCUUGGGUUUUAAUAUCUAUCGAGUUCAAUUUUUUAUCAGUAGCUUACUACGUACGAGACUCCAUUUCAAUGGGUGCUCAAUCGAAACUCCACUUAUUCUUUUCCCUUCUGAUAAAAGAGAGAAAAAUAAAUAAACCAACAGCUACACCCAGCACCAUUCUUACCUCAUGUAUAUAUAUCAUCAUGCAGUACUUGAAGUAUCACUGCCGGAGGAUAAAAAGAUAAACUGGGAACACUAAUAAUUUAUAGACACUUUGAAUCAAAGCAAUUUUCGGGCAUAGACCAGUUAGCAUUAGCAGUUGCAGAUAACAACCCCCCGAAUCAGCCACUAUUGAGUCCAAGCGUGCAUUGGUUGAAGAAGGAAGGGAAGCCAUUAAAGCAAGCAUUGCAAUAAAUGGAGGACUUCCAUACGAGACAAAACGGAGAAGUCCAAGGGGACCUGAUCUUCAUCAUCAUUAAUAAUUGUAAAAAUAUAACAUUGGUAAUGACAAUGUAUCGUAAAGAAAAAUAUGAAGAAAAAUAAAAAAUACACAGAUUUUACAUGAAAAUCCUUUCGAAAAAAAAACACGAGCAGAAGAAAAGAUAAUUCACUAUGACGAAUUUGAAUAAUUACAAGAGGAAUAAAUUCGAGUCACUUAAUGCUAAAACAAAAGUUCAUCUUGGAUUAGUGUGGCAUUAAUUGUAUCUUCAAAGUCGGUAAUAUGCUUUGGCAAAGCUGAAAUAACAUGGUUAAUGUUCACCUUCUUUCAUAAACUUUAGUAGAAAAGAAAAUAUUAUCUUUCCAAUACAAUCGUGUCCCAUUUGACCAUACUUAAAAUAUCCUGGAAAAAGCUUCAUCUGAUCUGGAUCCCAAAGAAGAAAAAAGAAAAAAGAAUCAUCUUUCCAAUAAAAUGGUGUCCCAUUUGACCAAGCAUAAAAUAUCCUGGAAAAAGAUGCAACCCUAUUCAUGCACCCCAACCUAUUGGGUGUCUAAAGAAAUUAGGAUAAAUUAUGAAAAUAGUCACUUUUAUUUGUAUUGAAUUAUAAUUUUAUAGUUUAUUCAACAAAUUAAUUACAUCUAGCAGAGUAAAAAGUUCCAUUACAGCCCAAGUCAUUGUUAUCUUUCCAAAUCUCUAAACCUCAUGGGACAAUAUUUUUUUAUUUUUGUUUAAAGUUUUCUAUAUUUGGUAAUUAUAUUGGAUUAUUAAAGAAGAAAAGGUCAUCUUCAUGACUAGUGACAGAACUUCACAAUCAUUGAGCAAUAGAGUGAGAUGUUACUUCAUUGCCACUGAAUUAAUUUUUUAGUCAAAUGGGAUAACUUAUUUUAUUCAAUGGAUACCUUCUUCUUUACAUUUUCUUCUUCUCUUUGGGUAUAAAAUUUCAGUGCUUUCAUUAACCAUAUUCAACAAUCGUCCCCUUCUAAUCAAAUGACGAAAUCUCAAAAAGGCAAUGAGGUCUAUUGGUCGGUUUGUUUAGCGGAGGAUACACUUAAAGCCCCACUUGAUCAUGUUUUGUUCGUAACCUGUUGGAUUUGAGGAAUGAAUAUGAACCACAAAGUUUAGGGUUACAAUAUUUCAUAAUUAAAAACAAUCCUUUCCUUAUUACCGCUAAAGAAUUGCGCCGAUUGUCGAGUAGUUGGAAAAGGUUUGAUGGAUUCAAAUGGGUUUAAUAUUAAUGAGCAUUAAUCUUCAUAUAUAACAUUCCAAGGUCCAUAGUGUUUGUGAUAAUAACAGUGCACCAACAAAAUUUUUUGGAGAGUCGAAAUUAAAUUGUAUAUUUUUACUAUCGUAAAAAUAUAAAUUUAUCAUUUUAAUACUAUAUAUCUUUAUAACUUUUAAAUGAUUAAAUUAAUUUUUUAUUAUUUUAAGGGCCAAAGUACAAUUUUACCAUUACUAAUUUAAAAUUUUAUAAAUUAUGAAUGGACUAAAUAAAGAAUUUUCCAUUUUAGGCUCUGCAUAAAUCAACAUGUGAUGACAUGAUUAUAUUAUCACUAAGAGUUGGUGAAUUGAGAAAUGUUAAACAUGAAAAUUUUAUGUAAAGUUGUUCAUAAGCCGAAUCGAAUCAAGAAUUGAUUUUAAAUUAAAUUUUAUGUUUAAAAUUAUUUUCGAGCUGGCUUGAUUUGUCAAAAAAAUAAUUAAUUUCAUCAACAUAACCUUUAAAAAAACCCAAUGAAACCAAAACAAUCCUAACUCCAAGAAAAAUUGUAAUUGAUCAGAAAAAGAAAAAGUAGAAAUAAAAGUCAGAGUUAGGGUUAGAGGUGAUCAUGGAUUGGGCUACCCGGUUCGGCCCAACAGUCUGCUCGAAAAAUGGGAGGGUUCUGGUAAAAAUAUAGGCCUGAAAUAUAGGUUUGGGCAAAAAAUUGAGGCCCAUUUAGAAAAUGGGCCAAGCCUCGGGUAAGACUUGUUGGCCCGACCUAACCCGGCCCGAAUUAUAUAUUAAAUAUAUAUUUUUAUUUUUGUUUUUAAUCAAAUAUAGUUUUUAUUAAAUAUAUAAUUUUUGAAAUUUUAAUCCGAAUUAUAUAUUAAAUAUAUUUAAUUUUUUAAUUUUUAAUCAAAUAUGGGCCGGAUCAGGUUCAAACCUAGAAAAAUGGGCUAAAAUUUUGUCUUAAUCUGACUCGAUCUAACCCAUGAUCACCUCUAGGUAGGCUUGGGUGGCUUUCUAAAUCACCUCUCCAAUUUUCUUAGCUUUCAAUGGGAAUGAUUUGGAUAUAACUAGGUAAGUUAAAAGAAAAGACAACCUAACCUUGUUAUGGUGUUUGACUGAAACUUUAAUAUCUUAUUUGUUAAUCAUCUACAACAAUAUUAAAAUAAAUUCAUAAAAUAACAUCUUUUUAUUUUUAUUUUAAAUUUCAGAAUUUGAGUAAAAGUUAUCACUCCAUUAAUUUUUUUUUAAAAUGAUUUCAUAUAUAUAAAAAAGAAAAUUUUAAUUUCAUCAACAUAUCCUUUAAAAAAACUCAGUGAAAUCAAAGCAAUAUUCCAACAUCAAAAGCAACUCCAAGAAAAAUUGUAAUUGAUUAUAAAAAGAAAAAGUACAAGUAAAAGGUGAGAGUUAGGGGUAGGUGGCUUGCUUAUGUCACAAACUUAAGUAUGUUUAUGUCACAACCUAAAUCAUGGUUUUAAAUAAUAAUAAAAAAAGUAGUUUUUCAAAUCAAAUUUUGAUUUUAAGUUAGGGAUAAGUUAAAUGGUCAAAAUUUUUAACUUUUGAAAAAGUAUUUUUUAAUAAAAUUAUUUUUUUAUCCCCUCGUUAAAGCUUUUACUUUACAAGAUCAAGUCUAGGAUAGGUAUUUUAUUUUCUUAUAAGUAUUUAUGGACAACCAUGAUAAACAUUAUCAAAAUUUUUAAAAGUAUUUUUCAACCUCAAUGGUAAACUAGCUCUUAAAAAUUUUGGGAGGCACAAGUGAUACAAAUAAAGAAAAGCCCAAUUAUUACUACGGUGUAUGUUUUUUGGCAUAAUGAUAAAUUUAACUCUUAUUGUUUAUAUUUUUUUGUCAAUUUGAUCAUUAUUCAUUUUUUAGUUAAAUUUGACACUUAACCCUUUUAAAAAGAGCCAAAUUUAACCAUCAACUUUUCAGAAAGAGUUGAAUGAAAGGCAUUGCUUUAUUAUUAUUAUGGAGUUUAUACUCAACUGUCGCUAAAGAUUUAACACUUGAAUAACUAAAAUGAAAACGCCCUGAAAAUUAGGUGAUAAAAUUGUGAAGAUUUCAUUUUGGACACCCAAACCAUAAAAAUUAAGCAAACGAUCGAGAGUUUACCGUAAUUUUAGUUUUGAUUACUUUAUGGUUGUUAAUUAAUUAGACUUUAGGAAUACAUAUUUAAAUUAAUUUAUGGUUGACAAUAUAGACUUCAUUUUGAUAAUUAAUUACAUUGUAACUCAUUACCAUUAUCUUUUUCUAUUAUCAAAAUAACUAUAAGGUCCAAUUACAAAUGAAACUCUUCUUUUCUUCUAGUCAAAUGUAGGUUAUCCAUCCUUCUUCUUUAACCUCUCAUGUUGUGGAUUGUCCAUUCAACACCACAUCCCACACCAUACAAAGUAGACUUAAUUUGCCACCUGUACUGUUAACAUCUUGAACCAGGAGUUGCCUGAUACCAAAUUACCAUUCCAACAUAUUCCACAACAUGUAUUUAACAAUAGUUACUAAUUUUGAGUACUGUAAGAGUGCUAAAACCUCAAUCACUCGUGACUAACUUUCAAAUCUGAUUUGUACUUUGAUUGGCAAUGUUGUCUUUUUAAAAUAAUUUUUAAUUUUUUUAGAAAAGAGACCAUCUUAUGAGUUCAAACACAUUUAGCUAAAAAAAACACUGACAACACCUUUUAUACUAACUAAAAACUCCCAAGUUUUUCUCAAGUAAAAUUUUUUUUAACAUUAUUGAUUUUUUUUAAUUUACAUUUAAAAUUUGAUCGCCACAAUCGUGAAAGUGUGAUGAGUUCAGGAGAUGGAGUAAUAGAUAUACAAUAAUAAUAUAAUAGAGUUACUUAUGAACUAAGGAUUACAUAUUACGUAUAUGUGGAAUAAUAGCAUGUAGUGGCGGAGUGUAGUAGAGAAUCAGGGGUUAUGGUCCCUUAAAAUGAUAAAUUUUUAAUUUAGGCCUUUUAUAAUUUAUAGAAUUUUAAAUUAGUAAUAAUAAAAUUAUACUUUGGCCUCUCAAAAAUGAUAAAAAAAUUAAUUUAACCCUUAUAAAAAUAUAGACUAUUAAAAUGAUGAAAUUAUAAUUUUACUAUCAUAAAAAUAUACAAUUUAAUUUCAAUCCCUAAAAGAUUUCAAGCUCUGCCACUAUGUGAAUUUCGAGCUAAAAGUGCUAAUAUGAUGUUGUCAUACAUGAAUUUUUUUUUUUAGAAAAAAAAGAAAGAAAGUUGAUGUGAAAGUGGGAAAAGAAAAAUAAUAAAAAAAAUAUUGUUAAUAAAUAUGUUAGAUUGUUGUUAGACAAUUAACGAUAGAUCGCUUUAGCGCACUCAAACCCGUGUCUUCUUGCACUAGCAACAAUGCUAAUGCCAACUGAACUAAGACUCAAUCGGCAUUAGUUAUAUUUAACUCAAUCAAAUCCAUCACUUGAUUUACUUUUAUUGCAUUUUAUAACAAUUUCUACGUUUGUCAACAAAGUCAUCCACCCAUGGCAGAAAGCUCUUUUGCUUCCAUUACUGUUAUACAUUUCAUCCGAAUGCUCAAAUUCACUGCUUACAGUGACAAUAGAUCGCCUCGCCACCUGGGUUAACACGGAAGAGAAAACAUGAAAGCAAAGAUGUUAUUACAGGAUGUUUUCCAAAGACGAUAAUGGCUCUAGACUGACAAUUUCCAAACAAAGUUAUCAUGAACCAAGUACCAAACGUUUUAUAUAUAUUUUUAUUUGUUUUUCCAUUGUUUAAUACGUCUUCACUUUUAGAGUUAGUUUUGUUGUCGUCCCCUCUAGUUUGAUGAAUGAUUAGUUCUUUUGCCGAUUUAUACUCGUCGCUUUCUGGGAUUGAUUUCCUUAUUGUAUUAAGUGCUUGCAAUCACUCUUGAUAUAUCGUGCUUGAGUUGUGACAAAGUAUAUUAUCAACGUGUCAUAAUAUUCUAUUGAUGUUGAAAUUAAACCUUUUGUUGUGUUGAUGGAGCUUAUCCUUUAGCUUGUACAACGGAUGUUUAUUGUUUUUCCCUUGAAUUGUAUGAUUUUAUUCAUUUCAUGAAUUAAUUUUUAAUAUAAAUAUGUAAUAUUUAUGAAAAUAUUUUCAUAAAAUAAAUAACUAUAAUUUAUUUUUUUAAGUAAUAUCAUAUAAUUAUAUUAGUUAUUAAUGCUUAUUCUAUUUGUUCAAUUAUAGAUUUAGGUAUUUUAGAUUCAAAUUUUUUGAACUCGAAAUGAUUGAGUUAGAAAUUUUUUAUUUAUAAAAUUAACUCAAAAAUAUUCUUAUAUCAAUGGAAAUUAUAAGUACAGCACGGAGUAUAAACUGUAAAAAUACCAGACAAAUGAAGAAACACAAACUCUUCUCAUGAUUAGAAUGGUAAAAGCUUGGAAAAAUAGGAUAUUUGUUUAGAAUAAGGGUGAGUUUGGAUGGGCGGUGCGUUUACUUGCGGUUAAUGUAAAAACAACAGUGGUAGUGAAGUUAAAUACUGUAGCAUGAGACAAAAAGUAAGUUAACGCACCACACCGCACCCAAUCGCUCGUCCAAACCCACCUUAAAUGUGGUAAAUUUGGAAAGAUUGUGAGAUCCAUAACACCUCAAAUUAUUUAUUUUUUCUAAUCUCUGAAUCUGACAGGUCUGAAACACUUUAACAUACUUUCCAACCACAGUGGUAGUUUCAAGCUUUGCAUGAUCACAUCGGUCUAAUUUCUUUCCAUUGUUUAAUAUUUGUUGGAUGGAUGGUGACUCAUACAUGUUAAAGAGGAUGUGGUCUCCGGCCGGGACAUGGUCGAGGCCUCAUCGCGAACGGAUAUCCGCCAUGUCUUUCUAUGCUUUCCCUAAUUGCUUCUCUGCCUUGUUCUAUCAAUGAAGGCUUAUCAGUACUGCUUCGAAAAUUAUAGGUUUUAGCCUGUUCUUCAGCCACCAACUUUACCAUAAAAAACUCAACAAACAAGCGAGCCCCAGAGCUCCAAAUCAAGAACAAAGCAAACAGUGAAAUACAGAACAAUACGUUGAAACUAGCCAUUUCAGACCUCUAAUCUGCGUUACUGAUAUUCUGCAUGAAUAUGCUUCAAUGCGGGGUCCUAUUUAUAGCCCUUUGUCCAC
Molecule: long non-coding RNA, 7106 nt
Filed under: Gossypium barbadense (sea-island cotton)
Lineage: Eukaryota; Viridiplantae; Streptophyta; Magnoliopsida; Malvales; Malvaceae
Description: long non-coding RNA (GBAR_LNC013190)
Source: RNAcentral